Molecule: long non-coding RNA, 2819 nt
Organism: Bubalus bubalis (water buffalo)
Lineage: Eukaryota; Metazoa; Chordata; Mammalia; Artiodactyla; Bovidae
Exons: 3
Source: RefSeq, a predicted model, not a curated record
AUAUAGGUUAUUACAGAAUAUUGAGCCAAGUUCCCUGUGCUAUACAGUAGGUCCUUUUUGGGAAACAGGUACUAUUUUCAUCCUAAUUGUACACAUGGGGAAAUUGAGGCACAGAAAGGCUAAGUAACUUGGCCGAGAAGACACAGUGAGCUAAGGAUUUGAACCGAAGCGUUCUGGUUCUGUAGUCUGCGUUUUUCCCCACUUACCCAAUGGGCCUGUCCCUACUGGGCAGACAGGUCUACUCAGGGCAGCAUGAGGCUGAUGAGAGGGUCGGUUCAGUUUCUAAGAGAAAUGCUGAGGCUAUUUGUAAAUGUCUUAUAAGGAUUUGGCAAUGCUUUCCUACCAACCUCACGUCAGAAUGUUACAAUCAGAGUGACAUGUGGGGGUGUUUCUGCCGGCGUGUGUGGGGACUUUUCCCUCCGCCUGUUUCCUCCCAGCUGGGUCCUAUCUGUACGUGUAUCUGGAGUCACUGACAGGAGCCCUGCUGGGAAAUCUUGACUGCAAGAUGAAGCCAACAGGGACCCUGGGGUGUGGAAGGGGUGGGGGGACCUGUCUUUUCUGUGUCUAUCAUCUAACAAACACAUUUGAACACUAAGAGCCACGGAGGACCUGCCCUCCUUCAAGAGGAUCAUUGAGGUGACAGUUUUGUCAGCCUGACCAUCUCUGGGGACAGUAUACCAGCUCUCUCAGGGUGGUCAAAACCUCGUAUUUCUUUAGGUAAGCAUUUCCUUAAUAUUUAACCCAAAUUCUCUCAGUUAAAUAUUUAAUCCAACUGUAAGGUGCUGUUUUUGCUGGAAGAAUAGCUGGUCUUUGGCUUCCUCAUAAUCUGUCUUUAAAAGAAGUGCCCUUGACAACGAUGACAUGAUGAAUUCAGCCACUGACAGACCCUGACGUUCUUAGGCCCCCAAGAGUAGGGUGUUUUCCUUUCUUUGUGUCCAGAAUUACUCAGAAUUAUCUGAAUACCUAUUCCUCAUGUCACUACUGUUCCCAAAGUGCUUCACAGGCAUCUGCGUUCAGUUCGGAAAUCCUGUUUUGUGCUAUGUCAUCAUCUUUCCUGUGUUCCAACUUUCCAAACUAUUGAUCAAUUAUUUACUCUCUCUGUAAGAUUUCUUUCAGAUUUCAUUUUGAACAACCUGCUAGUCAAGAGAUCUUUGGGGCGCUGACUUGAGACGGAAACAGACACCAGCUCCUUGGAAAGGAUCGCCUUUCAGCCACUCCAGACUCCUUACCUUGCUCGACUACCUUAAGAAGCAAGUUGGGAGCCUUGAGCUGCUCUUUAAGUUUGUCAAGUUCAACCUUGGCAGUACCAGGCUGCUCCUGAUCUUCCUGGUCCUGCUCUUGCCAGGCUGCAGAGACGAAACAUGUCAAAUCCUCCCAGCAAAGGCAGUGAAGGCAACCAGGCUCUCUUCCCUCGAAAAGAAUCUAAGAGUCAACGUCUUGAUGUCUCACAAUUGACUAUCAACACUGCUAUAGUGUACAUGCAGCUAUUCUACAUGAUUCAGUCCUUUACACAGUUCCAUUGAAAUGAGGAGUGGACCCUGUAACAGGAAAUUUCUUCACUGAAAUUCAAUUUUUUGCAUGCAAAACCUAAUUUCAUUUUUGGAUUGGCUGAAAUGUUUAAGGAGCCCCGAUGAAAUAUCAGAAUUUGUUAAAAGUCAAGAAGUAUAAUCACGGUUCAGACUACGUGAAUGGUCAGCACGAGAGCCAAGGUAAUGAAAUCUUUGCAACCUUGCCUGUGUACAGCCACUUGAUCUCUACUCUUUUGAAGCAUUUUCAAAAGUACAUUGUGUUAUUUUGGUGACUAGCACAGGUUCUUGCUUAUGUAUAAAAAUUGGACAAAAUGGCUUAUUUGCUUAACAAUGUCCAAGUCUGUUGCAUGUAGUUUGAAGGCUUUGCCCAAGAACCUGGCGGGAGGGAGUACCGUGGACACAGGUUUCAGAGUUGGGGCAUUUUCAGAUCAUUGCAAGUCCACUUUAUAAAGCAUUCUAAUUUACCUUGUUUUUGGUGAGUCUGUAUUUUUGCAUAUAAAGUAAGUUUUACAGAUAUGAUGUAGAUGAAAACCAGGGGAGAUCAACAGUGGCAGUUACCAAUUUUAAAUGUGGGAAGAAAGACAAAGACAUCACAGAAGACAAAGCUAAAUGAAAGUUUGGAUUUUGGACUUAAAUGGGUCACUUAAUAAUUGUGUCAUACUGGGCGAGUUACCGAAGCUCAGGGAGUAGUUUUUCAUUAGUGCAAGGGUGAAAUGAAACCCACAAUGCAUUAUUCUGAUUUUCCCUACCCUGGAGAACUAUGUAGGAAACAAAACUGACAUGUUUGGCAAGAUACCCACGUGGGUUAAAAUCUAUACAGAUUUGUACAUGUUUGAGAAGCUGAUAACUCCUUUCAUAAAACAUAUAGUCCCUGACCUGAACCUUUCAGAAGUGUAUGAUCAAUCACAGUAAAAGGACUUUUAGUUUUCUGUAUUUAAAUCCCUUCCACAGGGGACAAGGUCUACCCACAAGCUCACAGGUACUAGAACAUGUGUUGUUACAAUGAAAAUCAGAAUGAUAUGCUUCUGAACUGCUUAAUCACUCCCCCAAAGACAAUUACUUCUAUUCUGGAAGAAGCAGGACUCUGUAGUGAAAACACAGAGACCUGAAAGCAGUGCAUUAAUUAUUUUAUUAAUUUCUUUUUACAUUAUGGGAAACAUUCAUCUAUUUACAAUUUUUUUUUGUCCGCACACAAUCUAGGUAGAUAAGCCUAUGAAAUUCCAAUUCAUAAAGCCAUAAAAAUGUUCCCCACCCCUCCAUCUGAAAGCUUUCAAAUGAAUCUUUUUUUUU